CCUGACUAAGGCCCUUCUCCCCCGAUCGCUCAGUCUGGCUGGGCAGGCGACUCUAGCAAGAGUCCUGGUGGUUCCAAACUUCUUCCAGAUGAUGGAGGCCACUGUGCUCAUUGGGACUUUCAAUGCUACAGAAAUCUUUCUAUACCCUUCGCCAAAUCUGUGCCUCGAUACAAUUCUGUCUCUGAGUUCUACAGACCUCAUGGCUUGGUUUAUGCUCUGAUAUGCACUGUCAUACUCUGAUACCUUAUAUAGACAGGUGUGUGCCUUUCUCAAUCAUGUCCAAUCAACUGAAUUUAGCACAGGUGGACUCCAAUCAAGUUGUAGAAACAAGGAUGAUCAGUGGAAACAGGAAGCACCUGAGCUAAAUUUUGAGUGUCAUGGCAAAGGCUGUGAAUAAUUAUGUACAUGUUAUGUUUUCGUUCUUUAUUUUUAACAGAUUGUCAUUAUGGGUUGUUGUGUGUAGAAUGUUGAGGAAAAUAAUGAAUUUAAUCCAUUUUGGAAUAAGGCUGUAACAUAACAAAAUGUGGAAAAAGUGAAGCGCUGUGAACACUUUGCGGAUGCACUGUAGUUUUACAGGUUUUUACACUGACUUAAAAAAAGUUGGAGAACAAACUUCAUGAAAAUGUUUUGAAAAUAACCACAGAAAAAAGUCAUAUGGUACUGAAAACCCCCACUAUUUAAUUUAAAACAAAAUUCAAAAAAUCUCAACAAAUUUGUAGUACAAACUUUAUACAUAUUAUUUUCUGACAUGGCGUAUCAAGAAAAUAAAAAAGUAGAAAGUAAAAAUAUUUCAGUAUAGAAUUUUGAAAAACAGUCUAGUAUAGUCAGAUUAUUAAAGAAGAUUAAAAUGAACCUUUUGUAUUUUAGUGUGUAUUAUGUCAAAAACAAAAAAAUAUAUAGUAUUGUCAAAAGAAGUGAAAGAACUACAAAUAUGAUUUACAUUUCAUGAAGAACCAAAUGACAAGAUAAAGGAAAAAAUGAACUUUUGGUUAAAAUAUAAAAUAACGUAAAAGAAGAAAAAUCCAGUGCAUAUCAAAUGUACAAGUUAUGCAAACUGCUAAAACACAAAGAGCUUUCACAGAAUAUAAUUGAAUAAAACAUUUAUUCUGACUGGACCCUCCAAACCUAAAACAUUAAAACACAGACAAGGGCAACAAGCCCCCCAGCACUGAGGCGCCUCUUCAUGAUGCUCUGAGGUCACUGCCAAUGGCCUCGAUGUACACUGACCUCUAGUGGCCACGUUCAGGAAGAACAGUACACUGACCUCUAGUGGCCACGUUCAGGAAGAACAGUACACUGACCUCUAGUGGCCACGUUCAGGAAGAACACUCAACAGCAAUCUAAUGUUAAUAUGAUUCUAGUGGGACAUUUUAUUUCAGCUCACUUGACUCCUAAAAAUAAAUACAGAAUGAUAACCAAUUUUCUAUAGUUGAACGUUAAAGUGUAAAAAUAGGUCAAGUGUCACUUUUCUAGGUUUUGGGGGGUUGAUUUCACAAUGAUUGUGUGUAAUACCCAUUGAGAGAUUAAUGCUUUCACCUGUGACACUUUCUGCGUUUCUUUCUCUCUUUUCUGUCAGCGUGGUGCACACAUUCCUUCAGGGGGAGCCGUCGCUCUUUCUGUAAAUCAUACUCGGGCUGCUUUUUAUUUUCAUACAUUAAACAUUUUCCCUUUACUGCUAAAAUCUUUCUACAUUCACUUUCUGUCUGGAAAAAAAAAUAAUUCACGGGCCACUGGCAUUUUGGGAGAUGAAAAUUUAUAUUAUGGGAGUAUAAUGGUUUUCUUCCCAGUGUCCCAUUGUGUGCUGGAUCUGCAGGACUCCAUUCAUCUGUCCCUUUUUCUUCAGUUAUCGUCUCCUUCUCUGCCCCCCUCCCUACAUUUACGUUUCUGUGAUAUCUGCACCUAAAAAGACGCCUUCUGUCCCUCAUUUUGCCCGUCUCCUCGUCUCUUUGCGUGGGUGGGAGGAAGAAAAGGCCGGUCAGUGGAGUUGGACAUGAACAAAGAAGUGGUGUACUUGUAGUGUACAGUAUUGUACUGUACAGUAGUGUAGUUAAGCAAUAAGGUACAAGAGGCUGUGUUUUAUCGUCUGGCCUAACAACCCCUGAACUGUUUCAUUAUUGAAGAUAAAGUACUGCCUCAAGUACCUUUAUUGUUUCUAUACUACGGUUACCAGCGAAAUUAUAAAUGCACACCAGAUCGUUUGGGGAGCUCCCGGCGUCCAGCCGCCUCGUCUGGCUGAGUUUCUCUCACCGGAUCGCCACUAUCGAAAUACAGGGAGACAAACACAAUCCUUGAUUCACUGCACCUGAGGCCAAUGGCGCCUCCACCUGGCACAUCAGUGUAGUUUAGGGUGCAGUAGGACACAGUAGUGUAGUUUAGGGUGCAGUAGGACACAGUAGUGUAGUUUAGGGUGCAGUAGGACACAGCAGUGUAGCGUGCAGUAGGACACAUUAGUGUAGUG
Long non-coding RNA from Gasterosteus aculeatus aculeatus (three-spined stickleback), 2458 nucleotides. Lineage: Eukaryota; Metazoa; Chordata; Actinopteri; Perciformes; Gasterosteidae. The record is from Ensembl.